RNAcentral lists this ribosomal RNA (459 nucleotides) under uncultured bacterium. RNAcentral describes it as "partial 16S ribosomal RNA". It matches the Rfam family "Bacterial small subunit ribosomal RNA", at positions 338 to 795 of the family's 1533-position model. The record is from RNAcentral.
CCUACGGGGGGCAGCAGUGAGGAAUAUUGGUCAAUGGCCGCAGGGCUGAACCAGCCAAGUCGCGUGAGGGAUGACGGUCCUAUGGAUUGUAAACCUCUUUUGUCAGGGAGCAAAGGGCGCCACGUGUGGCGCUUUGCGAGUACCUGAAGAAACAGCAUCGGCUAACUCCGUGCCAGCAGCCGCGGUAAUACGGAGGAUGAGAGCGUUAUCCGGAUUUAUUGGGUUUAAGGGGUGCGCAGGCGGAAUGUCAAGUCAGCGGUAAAAUUUCGGGGCUCAACCCCGUCGUGCCGUUGAAACUGGCGUUCUUGAGUGAGCGAGAAGUAUGCGGAAUGCGUGGUGUAGCGGUGAAAUGCAUAGAUAUCACGCAGAACUCCGAUUGCGAAGGCAGCAUACCGGCGCUCAACUGACGCUCAUGCACGAAAGCGUGGGUAUCGAACAGGAUUAGAUACCCUGGUAGUC